This 460-nucleotide ribosomal RNA is filed under the name uncultured bacterium. RNAcentral describes it as "partial 16S ribosomal RNA". It matches the Rfam family "Bacterial small subunit ribosomal RNA", at positions 338 to 795 of the family's 1533-position model. The record is from RNAcentral.
CCUACGGGAGGCAGCAGUGAGGAAUAUUGGUCAAUGGACGCAAGUCUGAACCAGCCAUGCCGCGUGCAGGAAGACGGCUCUAUGAGUUGUAAACUUCUUUUGUACGAGGGUAAACGCAGAUACGCGUAUCUGUCUGAAAGUAUCGUACGAAUAAGGAUCGGCUAACUCCGUGCCAGCAGCCGCGGUAAUACGGAGGAUUCAAGCGUUAUCCGGAUUUAUUGGGUUUAAAGGGUGCGUAGGCGGUCGGAUAAGUUAGAGGUGAAAUCCCGAGGCUCAACUUCGGAAUUGCCUCUGAUACUGGUCGGCUAGAGAGUAGUAGCGGUAGGCGGAAUGUAUGGUGUAGCGGUGAAAUGCUUAGAGAUCAUACAGAACACCGAUUGCGAAGGCAGCUUACCAGGCUACUACUGACGCUGAGGCACGAAAGCGUGGGGAGCGAACAGGAUUAGAUACCCUUGUAGUC